Long non-coding RNA from Oryctolagus cuniculus (rabbit), 2948 nucleotides. The record is from Ensembl. NCBI's taxonomy places the organism in Eukaryota, Metazoa, Chordata, Mammalia, Lagomorpha, Leporidae.
AUGCCAUCGCCUCCUCCCCACCGGGAGACUGAGCAAGGGCGGGACCCCCUGGGGGGGCACCGUGGGUGGCCAGCAGAGCCCACCCCACACAGUCCACUGCCCUGCACAUUACAGCUCCGUCUCCUGCUGUGGAGGAGAGAGAGGUUGGGAUGGCGACCGCCCGGGCCGGACAGGGGUCGGCCCUCCCGUGGGCCCUGCAGCCAGGCCUCCUGUCUCCCUGAGGCCCUGCGGGGCAGCCCACGGCCCCGGAACGCGGCCGCCUCCUCCCUCCAGGGGCGCAGGCCCCGCCCCCGCCAGCCUUGCCCCAACCUCAGAAGCUGCUCCGGCACCUGGCAGCCCAGAGAUGUCAGACCUGAGCCGGGUCACGCAGCCUGGCACUGGAGCCGCUGUGUGGGCCGGAGACAGGCGCCCGCCCCAGGGCGGGGUUGCCCUGACAAGCAGCACACACGUGUGCAACCGCAGAGCACUGGCACCGGCCCCGGAGCCGGCAGCAAGGAGGCAGCUGACGGACGGCCACGAGGGGGCGGGCCGCGCGUCCCCCUGCCCACAUCCGCCCACACAGCUGUCCCAUCGGGGCAGGUGACAGCCUCCACCCUGGAUCAGCUGAGGGCAUCAGGCUGGCCUGCGGGGUGGGGUGGGCGCAGGGCCAACCCUGGCCAGCUCUGUCCAGGGCCUGGAUUCCAGGGCAGCUGGGAGGAGCUCCUGGCACGGGCCCCCUGGGGUGGGCAGGGUGGCCGCUGGGCCCUCGGCCCCUGGGGGCCGGGGGAGGGGUCGUUCCCAGCAUGCACCUCCUGCCAGGCUGCCCCUCGCUCCCAGCCCGCAGAGCCCCCUGCCCUGCCCCCUGGCCCCAGGCCUGUGGACCGGGGUGGCCUCGGAGCUGGUGAUAGCAGCGGUGUCUGCCCGGCACCCGCAGCCUCGGAGCCGGGAGCCGGAGCCCAAGGCUCGGCCGCCUGCCUGCCGCGGGGACGGCGCUCCAGGAGCAGCUCCCAGCGGGGCCCUGAGGAACAGGGUCCAGGGUCUCCAGGCCUGCACUGGCUGAGACCUGCAAAGGAGGCAGGACCCCAGCGUCUGCCACCAGGUGAGCACACCCUGACCCUGGCCACCUGCGCUGGGGCCUCCAGGACCCUUGGCCCAAACAGGCCAUCCCACAGAGCAGGGACCCGCGGCCCAUGUAGGCCAUGCAAAGGAGAGGGCAAAGGCUCUCCCGGGCCCUGGGCGGCCCCCUCUCGCCCUGGCGUGGGCAGCAGGCAUGGAAGUGGGCAGGGCCGGGCGGGGUCCCCAGGUGAGGCAGGGCAUGGAGGCCGGGGUGUCGGCCAGCCCCCGGCUCCCGCUCAGCCCCGUGGCCUUGGCUGUGCCCACGCUGAGCCCACCUCCUCCUUCGGGGGGGGCGGAAUGGCGACUUCCACACAAGACUCGGGGUCGCUGGGGGUCACCGCAGUGGCCCCCACCCUGGCUGGCCUGGAAGCUCCUCCCACCAGGGCCCAGGGAGCUCCGAGCAUUUUGCGGACGGAGAACGUGACUUGAGGCAGCUGUGAGAACGUCCUUGGGCUGUGUGCUCUCGUUGUAAACCAUCAGGAAGACUGCCAGCGCGCCCUGUCUCUGAGCUCUGACGGUGCUGUUUUUAGCAGGCGUUUCGCACAAGGGCCCAGUGAGCCGGAAGCUCGGGUGGACGAGGUGGGACUCCCGUCCGAUGGGGGUGCACGGUGCUCACGGCUCACAACAGGUGCAGGCAGCAGCUGCGGUGCCCCGGCCAUGCUGCCGGCACGGUCACAACCGAGCUCGCCGCUGCUCCAGCUCCAAGGGCCCAUGACAGCCCCUGGGCCAGCGCCACAGGAAAGGGGGCCUUCCGCUCUCCUGGGGGGCAAACAGGCCCCAGGACCUUGUGAGCCUCAGGACGUCCAGCCAAGGGCCGGUGCAGACGCACCCCUGGGGCUACCACUGAAGGCCCCCAGAGGUCACCUCGGGGCCUGGGCCACAGGGUCUGAGGGGGCCACGCGCUGGGAGCUGGUGCUCGUGGCCGCCCCUACCACGUGGGCUGGGCUGCGGCUCUGGGACACCCUGCUCGCCGUAGGGUGAGGCGGGGGUGUCGGGGUGUGUGUUGGGCUUGGCCGCCUGCAGCAGGAGUCGGGCCUGCGUCAGGCCAGGGGGACGGAUACAUCUCUUCCUGGCCUCCACCCGCCAACGGCACCCCAGUCAUGUCCCACUUCUGCGCGGGGCCUUCACGCCUGCUGUUCCCGCUGCCUCACUUGACUUUUCGGGAACCUGACAAGCUCUUACUCACCCUUGGAGACACGCCUGGCCGAACCUUGAUUGGGGAGUUUAGUUUGCCUGACUCUGAGCCUCUCUGAGCGCAGUCCCCUGCCCCACAGGUCCGUGGUGCCUCGUCCUGGCCUCCUCUCGCUUCGACCCUGCUGGGAGGGCAGCAGCUGGCGCAGGAACGAGGGUAGAACCACAACUGGUGUGGCUCCUUCCCCCAGGCCUGCCCCAACCCGGGGCCCCCACAGAGGGGCGGCUGCCCGAGGGCUCAGAGACCAGGGGAGCAGGAGGUGGGCGGCCAGGCUGACCUGGUGCCAGACACACAAGAUCCCAGCAGGAUCUUCCCAAGCCGCAGACGGGAAAGCUGCGGGAAGCAAGAGAACCCGCUGCAGGUCCCAGGCACGGGGGGUCAGGCCCACACCCUGUCCUGGCCCCGCGUGCCAGCACCAAGCUGGGGACCCACAGGAUCGCCCUUGGCCCCGCCGCACACCUACAGGCACCCUGGCGCCCCGACCUCUCAGCUGCGUCUGCCCACACCCGGCCAGGCUGGGUCAGGGGCAGGUCAGGUGCCUUGCAAAAGGCUGAGGGAGGAGCCGUGCUCCACGGGGAGGAGGAAGCUGUGGCGUAAGCUGGGUCCAGAUCCUUGCCAACGGCAGAAUAAAAACAGGAGUGAGAGGGCGACGCCCGUAGGG